AGUGAACGCUGGCGGUAGGCCUAACACAUGCAAGUCGAACGGCAGCACAGUAGGAGCUUGCUCUUACGGGUGGCGAGUGGCGGACGGGUGAGGAAUCCAUCGGAAUCUACUUUUUCGUGGGGGAUAACGUAGGGAAACUUACGCUAAUACCGCAUACGACCUACGGGUGAAAGCAGGGGAUCUUCGGACCUUGCGCGAUUGAAUGAGCCGAUGUCGGAUUAGCUAGUUGGCGGGGUAAAGGCCCACCAAGGCGACGAUCCGUAGCUGGUCUGAGAGGAUGAUCAGCCACACUGGAACUGAGACACGGUCCAGACUCCUACGGGAGGCAGCAGUGGGGAAUAUUGGACAAUGGGCGCAAGCCUGAUCCAGCCAUACCGCGUGGGUGAAGAAGGCCUUCGGGUUGUAAAGCCCUUUUGUUGGGAAAGAAAAGCAGCAGGUUAAUACCCCGCUGUUCUGACGGUACCCAAAGAAUAAGCACCGGCUAACGUCGUG
Molecule: ribosomal RNA, 492 nt
Filed under: uncultured bacterium
Lineage: Bacteria
Description: partial 16S ribosomal RNA
Rfam family: Bacterial small subunit ribosomal RNA
Source: RNAcentral